GCCUGAGUAAGAAAGCGGCAGAUCCUCUGGUUUGCCAGACAUACUUUUCUGGUUGCUCACAUCUCUAGUGUCACAACAGGAGCCAGGUUCACAAAAGGUGAGAGUUAGUAGGUAUAAGCAUCCAGGCAGUACGUUCAAAUUUACAUGUAUGUAAAACGACCCCACAUACCCAAAGACAUCGUUUUCUGAGCCUCUCACAUACACAGACGCUGCCAGAGUCCACAGAGCUCAUCCUUCAUUUGCGAUUCCUUUUCGACAUAUGUGCUUGGAAUUCAAGGGAAACAGGAUCCACGGGGGAUUGAUUUAUUACCAUUUGAAGACUGAAGAGAAGAGGCCUAGGAGCGUCUGAUUGAGGAAGCUGCGUGGGAAUCAUGUAGGCUGGGCCCAGAGAAACACUAGCCACAGAGACCUGUCCCUCCCUAAAGGACAGCCCCAGGGCCACUCCACUUCUACAGGUUCUGAAAUGGAGGAGCUGAGGGCUGCCCCAUAGUCACAUUCACUUUCGU
This 506-nucleotide long non-coding RNA is filed under the name Homo sapiens (human). RNAcentral's name for it is "non-protein coding LINC02565:9". The record is from RNAcentral. Lineage: Eukaryota; Metazoa; Chordata; Mammalia; Primates; Hominidae.